AUACAUGCAAGUCGAGCGGACAGAAGGGAGCUUGCUCCCGGAUGUUAGCGGCGGACGGGUGAGUAACACGUGGGUAACCUGCCUGUAAGACUGGGAUAACUCCGGGAAACCGGAGCUAAUACCGGAUAGUUCCUUGAACCGCAUGGUUCAAGGAUGAAAGACGGUUUCGGCUGUCACUUACAGAUGGACCCGCGGCGCAUUAGCUAGUUGGUGGGGUAAUGGCUCACCAAGGCGACGAUGCGUAGCCGACCUGAGAGGGUGAUCGGCCACACUGGGACUGAGACACGGCCCAGACUCCUACGGGAGGCAGCAGUAGGGAAUCUUCCGCAAUGGACGAAAGUCUGACGGAGCAACGCCGCGUGAGUGAUGAAGGUUUUCGGAUCGUAAAGCUCUGUUGUUAGGGAAGAACAAGUGCGAGAGUAACUGCUCGCACCUUGACGGUACCUAACCAGAAAGCCACGGCUAACUACGUGCCAGCAGCCGCGGUAAUACGUAGGUGGCAAGCGUUGUCCGGAAUUAUUGGGCGUAAAGGGCUCGCAGGCGGUUUCUUAAGUCUGAUGUGAAAGCCCCCGGCUCAACCGGGGAGGGUCAUUGGAAACUGGGAAACUUGAGUGCAGAAGAGGAGAGUGGAAUUCCACGUGUAGCGGUGAAAUGCGUAGAGAUGUGGAGGAACACCAGUGGCGAAGGCGACUCUCUGGUCUGUAACUGACGCUGAGGAGCGAAAGCGUGGGGAGCGAACAGGAUUAGAUACCCUGGUAGUCCACGCCGUAAACGAUGAGUGCUAAGUGUUAGGGGG
This 796-nucleotide ribosomal RNA is filed under the name Bacillus sp. (in: firmicutes). RNAcentral describes it as "bacterial SSU rRNA". It matches the Rfam family "Bacterial small subunit ribosomal RNA", at positions 51 to 830 of the family's 1533-position model. The record is from RNAcentral. Lineage: Bacteria; Bacillati; Bacillota; Bacilli; Caryophanales; Bacillaceae.